UACGGAGGGUGCAAGCGUUAUCCGGAUUCACUGGGCUUAAAGGGUGCGUAGGUGGGCAGGUAAGUCAGUGGUGAAAUCUCUGGGCUUAACCCGGAAACUGCCGUUGAUACUAUUUGUCUUGAAUAUAGUGGAGGUGAGCGGAAUAUGUCAUGUAGCGGUGAAAUGCCUAGAUAUGACAUAGAACAUCGAUUGCGAAGGCAGCUCGCUACACUAUUAUUGACACUGAGGCACGAAAGCGUGGGGAUCAAACAGG
Molecule: ribosomal RNA, 253 nt
Filed under: uncultured bacterium
Lineage: Bacteria
Description: partial 16S ribosomal RNA
Rfam family: Bacterial small subunit ribosomal RNA
Source: RNAcentral